AGUGAACGCUGGCGGCGUGCUUAACACAUGCAAGUCGAACGAGAACGGAUUAUAGCUUGCUAUAAUUGUCAGCUAAGUGGCGCACGGGUGAGUAAUGUAUAGGUAAUAUGCCUCUUACUAAGGGAUAACAAAUGGAAACGUUUGCUAAUACCUUAUACUCCUUAUUAACAUAAGUUAAGAAGGGAAAGAUUUAUUGGUAAGAGAUUAGCCUGUAUUGUAUCAGUUAGUUGGUGGGGUAAUGGCUUACCAAGACUAUGACACAUAACUGGUUUAAGAGGAUAAUCAGUCACACUGGAACUGAGACACGGUCCAGACUCCUACGGGAGUCAGCAGUGGUGAAUAUUGCACAAUGGACGAAAGUCUGAUGCAGCAACGCCGCGUGGAGGAUGACACAUUUCGGUGCGUAAACUCCUUUUAUAUGAGAAGAUAAUGACGGUAUUAUAUGAAUAAGCACCGGCUAACUCCGUGCCAGCCGCCGCCGUAA
Molecule: ribosomal RNA, 484 nt
Filed under: uncultured bacterium
Lineage: Bacteria
Description: partial 16S ribosomal RNA
Rfam family: Bacterial small subunit ribosomal RNA
Source: RNAcentral